UACGUAGGAGGCGAGCGUUGUCCGGAAUUACUGGGUGUAAAGCGCGCGUAGGUGGCAGGCCAAGUCUGUGGUGAAAGCGCCCGGCUCAACUGGGCAUGGUCCAUGGAAACUGGUCAGCUGGAGGACGGUAGAGGCGAGUGGAAUUCCCGGUGUAGUGGUGAAAUGCGUAGAGAUGUGGAGGAACACCAAUGGCGAAGGCAGCCUUCUGGGCCAACACUGACGCUCAUGCACGAAAGCGUGGGGAGCAAACAGG
This 253-nucleotide ribosomal RNA is filed under the name uncultured bacterium. RNAcentral's name for it is "partial 16S ribosomal RNA". It matches the Rfam family "Bacterial small subunit ribosomal RNA", at positions 524 to 776 of the family's 1533-position model. The record is from RNAcentral.